RNAcentral lists this ribosomal RNA (484 nucleotides) under uncultured bacterium. RNAcentral's name for it is "partial 16S ribosomal RNA". It matches the Rfam family "Bacterial small subunit ribosomal RNA", at positions 30 to 507 of the family's 1533-position model. The record is from RNAcentral.
AUUGAACGCUGGCGGCAGGCCUAACACAUGCAAGUCGAGCGGAUGAAGGGAGCUUGCUCCUGGAUUCAGCGGCGGACGGGUGAGUAAUGCCUAGGAAUCUGCCUGGUAGUGGGGGAUAACGUCCGGAAACGGGCGCUAAUACCGCAUACGUCCUGAGGGAGAAAGUGGGGGAUCUUCGGACCUCACGCUAUCAGAUGAGCCUAGGUCGGAUUAGCUAGUUGGUGGGGUAAAGGCCUGCCAAGGCGACGAUCCGUAACUGGUCUGAGAGGAUGAUCAGUCACACUGGAACUGAAACACGGUCCAGACUCCUACGGGAGGCAGCAGUGGGGAAUAUUGGACAAUGGGCGAAAGCCUGAUCCAGCCAUGCCGCGUGUGUGAAGAAGGUCUUCGGAUUGUAAAGCACUUUAAGUUGGGAGGAAGGGCAGUAAGUUAAUACCUUGCUGUUUUGACGUUACCAACAGAAUAAGCACCGGCUAACUUCGUG